RNAcentral lists this ribosomal RNA (468 nucleotides) under uncultured bacterium. RNAcentral describes it as "partial 16S ribosomal RNA". It matches the Rfam family "Bacterial small subunit ribosomal RNA", at positions 28 to 523 of the family's 1533-position model. The record is from RNAcentral.
GAUGAACGCUGGCGGCGUGCCUAACACAUGCAAGUCGAGCGAUUUACUCCGGUAAAGAGCGGCGGACGGGUGAGUAACGCGUGGGUAACCUGCCCUGUACACACGGAUAACAUACCGAAAGGUAUGCUAAUACGAGAUAAUAUGCUUUUAUCGCAUGGUAGAAGUAUCAAAGCUUUUGCGGUACAGGAUGGACCCGCGUCUGAUUAGCUAGUUGGUAAGGUAACGGCUUACCAAGGCGACGAUCAGUAGCCGACCUGAGAGGGUGAUCGGCCAUAUUGGAACGGAGACACGGUCCAAACGAAGAGGGGAGGCAGCAGGGGGGAAGAUUGCACAAUGGGCGAAAGCCUGAUGCAGCAACGCCGCGUGAGCGAUGAAGGCCUUCGGGUCGUAAAGCUCUGUCCUCAAGGAAGAUAAGGACGGUACUUGAGGAGGAAGCCCCGGCUAACUACGUGCCAGCAGCCGCCGUAA